AAAUAUGCACAAACUCGUAUUUUAUGUGUAUAAAUAAGAAGAAGUUGGCGACAUUGACUGAAAAAUGUCUCCCAGCUGGAACCAAGCUAGUUUAAAAUUGCAUAUUCUAUUCUAUAGUGUAUUUUAAAUAGCCUAAUACUCACUAAUGAUGAAUUUGUGUUCAUAUUUAAGUAUAUAAAAUAUAGCAUAAGUUAUGUACAAGGCAAAACAUUUUCUGUCAACUACAGUGUUUUGUGGGUUUUUUUUUCGCUAGCUAGGAAACUAAUACUACAGAUUUGCUCCUAUUAUUGUAGUAGAAUCAACUCCAAUCAGUUCAUGGUUUGAAUAUUAUUAGAAACCAGGAGCUAAAACAAAGCAUUUCUGACAGAAAGUGAGAAGAGGUGCUGCAGCAGUGUACAGUAUAAGAAAAAAAAAUGAAUUUUUGAACAUAAAAGCCUGUAAACAUAUUCUAGUAGGCCCCAAAAUAGAAAUAUGAAUCCAUAAAUGAGUACAAUAUGGGCUCUUUAACUUGUCAAAGUCACAGCAAACUGGUGAAUAGAGGUAUACAUUGAUAGACUACUUCAUAUGAAAGAAGGGGAGGAGAAGGAAUAUUAGCAUCUGUAUCUGCUGUAUGCCUCUGUUUACUAUCUGAAAAGUUGAUAAAUGGUUGGUUUUGCGUGUUCAGCUUGUUUCUGCUGCCCCCAAGUGACCAAAAAGCUAUACUGUAAGUUUAAUAUUCCCUGACUUUAUCCACCUUCUUUCAUAUAAUGCUACUAAUCUGCAUUUUCAUGCUGAUUUGGCUUUUACAGUGGCACCUCAUCAGUUCUUAUAACUACAGGACACAAGAAAGUCAACUAUUCUUACUGUCAAAACUUUGAUACUGAAGCUUUCUCAUUCUAUCAUCCCAAUUGUAAGAAAACAGGUUGAAUGUAUCCCUCAAAGCAAACUCUAAGGUCAGGAAGAAUAUCUGUGGUCAGGUCGUAGGAGCUUCUUUUAUUGUUAUUUUUUGUUUAAUAAAUAGGUCAUUUCAUAAUUGUGUUGAUAGUGCAUGUUAAAGUAUUUUAUCAGAGCCACAAUGUGAUGUAACACUGUAGAUUUGCUGUACAUGUGGUGUGUGAACUGGGAUUAUGCAAAGAAAGAUGCUUCUCAGUUUGAAAUUUCACAUUAUUCCAGCAGUACAGGACAGUCAAAUCGAUAUUUAAGUCAUCUGGUAUCUAACUUUAAGGAUGUUACUACAGUUUUUAAGGUAUUGAUAAGACUGAUGUACCACAGACCAGCAUGCAUUGAUUCUCCCUGAAAGCCAUGGAUUACUGCAGUUACUUCAUAAUUCCUUUAAAGAGCUCUGUUUUAAAAUCCAAACUCCCGUUCAUGUAACUGUUUUGUAUUUUGAAUUCCUCUAACAUCAACCUAGACCUUCUUUAUCGGGAUCUCUUAGUGUCAUGUAGGAUUCUGUAUUCUUUAACCUCAACUUUAAUGUCAUCUGCUCAGAAAUCCCAGCUAAGGUCACUUUAUGAUAAAAGAUGAAGAUGUAUUUUCUUGUAAAUAAAACGAUACAGUGCGACUUCAAAAAA
Amphiprion ocellaris (clown anemonefish) is the source of this 1550-nucleotide long non-coding RNA. The record is from Ensembl. NCBI's taxonomy places the organism in Eukaryota, Metazoa, Chordata, Actinopteri, Pomacentridae.